This 615-nucleotide ribosomal RNA is filed under the name uncultured bacterium. RNAcentral's name for it is "bacterial SSU rRNA". The stretch from base 1 to 542 matches the Rfam family "Bacterial small subunit ribosomal RNA", at positions 338 to 873 of the family's 1533-position model. The record is from RNAcentral.
CCUACGGGAGGCAGCAGUGGGGAAUUUUGGACAAUGGGCGCAAGCCUGAUCCAGCAAUGCCGCGUGCAGGAUGAAGGCCUUCGGGUUGUAAACUGCUUUUGUACGGAACGAAACGGUGAGCUCUAAUACAGUUUGCUAAUGACGGUACCGUAAGAAUAAGCACCGGCUAACUACGUGCCAGCAGCCGCGGUAAUACGUAGGGUGCGAGCGUUAAUCGGAAUUACUGGGCGUAAAGCGUGCGCAGGCGGUGAUGUAAGACAGAUGUGAAAUGCCCGGGCUCAACCUGGGACCUGCAUUUGUGACUGCAUCGCUAGAGUACGGUAGAGGGGGAUGGAAUUCCGCGUGUAGCAGUGAAAUGCGUAGAUAUGCGGAGGAACACCGAUGGCGAAGGCAAUCCCCUGGACCUGUACUGACGCUCAUGCACGAAAGCGUGGGGAGCAAACAGGAUUAGAUACCCUGGUAGUCCACGCCCUAAACGAUGUCAACUGGUUGUUGGGUCUUCACUGACUCAGUAACGAAGCUAACGCGUGAAGUUGACCGCCUGGGGNGACGCGCGAGUAGAAGUAAAGAAGUAGAGNGNGAGACGNGCGACGGACGACGACGAGGGGAGGUAGG